This 264-nucleotide ribosomal RNA is filed under the name uncultured bacterium. RNAcentral's name for it is "partial 16S ribosomal RNA". It matches the Rfam family "Bacterial small subunit ribosomal RNA", at positions 89 to 353 of the family's 1533-position model. The record is from RNAcentral.
ACUCGAGUGGCGAACGGGUGAGUAACACGUGAGUGAUCUGCCCUCAACUUCGGGAUAAGCCUGGGAAACUGGGUCUAAUACUGGAUAGGACCAUCCUUUAGUGUGUGAUGGUGGAAAGUUUUUUCGGUUGGGGAUGAGCUCGCGGCCUAUCAGCUUGUUGGUGGGGUAAUGGCCUACCAAGGCGUCGACGGGUAGCCGGCCUGAGAGGGUGUACGGCCACAUUGGGACUGAGACACGGCCCAGACUCCUACGGGAGGCAGCAUG